UCGGGAAUAUUGCGCAAUGGAGGAAACUCUGACGCAGUGACGCCGCGUGCAGGAAGAAGGUUUUCGGAUUGUAAACUGCUUUAGACAGGGAAGAAAAAAGACAGUACCUGUAGAAUAAGCUCCGGCUAACUACGUGCCAGCAGCCGCGGUAAUACGUAGGGAGCAAGCGUUAUCCGGAUUUAUUGGGUGUAAAGGGUGCGUAGACGGAGAAGCAAGUUAGUUGUGAAAUCCCUCGGCUUAACCGAGGAACUGCGACUAAAACUACUUCCCUUGAGUGCUGGAGAGGAAAGUGGAAUUCCUAGUGUAGCGGUGAAAUGCGUAGAUAUUAGGAGGAACACCAGUGGCGAAGGCGACUUUCUGGACAGUAACUGACGUUGAGGCACGAAAGUGUGGGGAGCAAACAGGAUUAGAUACC
Molecule: ribosomal RNA, 415 nt
Filed under: uncultured bacterium
Lineage: Bacteria
Description: bacterial SSU rRNA
Rfam family: Bacterial small subunit ribosomal RNA
Source: RNAcentral